UUGCUUUGGCAGCACAUAUACUAAAAUUGGAAUGAUAGAGGGAAGAUUAGCAUGGCCCCUGCGCAAGGAUGACAGCAAAAAAAAAGAAAAAGAAAAUAUUCCU
Small nuclear RNA from Eptesicus fuscus (big brown bat), 103 nucleotides. NCBI's taxonomy places the organism in Eukaryota, Metazoa, Chordata, Mammalia, Chiroptera, Vespertilionidae. The record is from RefSeq and is a predicted model, not a curated record.